GUGAAGGAAAAGUAGAAAUCCCACCAAGCUCCACACUACAGCAGACAUUGAACAUCUGCUACCUACAUUGCAAUGGAAAGAGGUUGGUUUCCUGUAUUUGUUCCUCAUCCCCAUUUUCUAUCUUCUUUUUAUCUCUAAGACAGUCCAGACCAGUUUCGAACCAUGAAUGCAGCCAAACUCCUAGACUCGAGUGUUUUACUGCUAAGUUAAAGAAAAAAAAAAC
This 223-nucleotide unclassified non-coding RNA is filed under the name Hevea brasiliensis (rubber tree). Lineage: Eukaryota; Viridiplantae; Streptophyta; Magnoliopsida; Malpighiales; Euphorbiaceae. The record is from RNAcentral.